This 442-nucleotide unclassified non-coding RNA is filed under the name uncultured fungus. RNAcentral describes it as "partial contains small subunit ribosomal RNA, internal transcribed spacer 1, and 5.8S ribosomal RNA". The stretch from base 1 to 73 matches the Rfam family "Eukaryotic small subunit ribosomal RNA", at positions 1759 to 1831 of the family's 1831-position model. Lineage: Eukaryota; Fungi. The record is from RNAcentral.
GCAAACUUGGUCAUUUAGAGGAAGUAAAAGUCGUAACAAGGUUUCCGUAGGUGAACCUGCGGAAGGAUCAUUACCAAUUCUCAGCGGGCCUGGACUCGUCCGUGGUCUCGCGAAACUCUGUAUUUAAAACCUGCUCGUAUCAUAAUCAAAACUUUGUAUCAGUGAGUUAAAAAAAGAUCACUUUCAACAACGGAUCUCUUGGCUCUCAGAGACAGGCAAACUUGGUCAUUUAGAGGAAGUAAAAGUCGUAACAAGGUUUCCGUAGGUGAACCUGCGGAAGGAUCAUUACCAAUUCUCAGCGGGCCUGGACUCGUCCGUGGUCUCGCGAAACUCUGUAUUUAAAACCUGCUCGUAUCAUAAUCAAAACUUUGUAUCAGUGAGUUAAAAAAAGAUCACUUUCAACAACGGAUCUCUUGGCUCUCGCAUCGAUGAAGAACGCAGC